Molecule: ribosomal RNA, 375 nt
Filed under: uncultured bacterium
Lineage: Bacteria
Description: bacterial SSU rRNA
Rfam family: Bacterial small subunit ribosomal RNA
Source: RNAcentral
UACGUAGGGGGCGAGCGUUAUCCGGAAUUACUGGGCGUAAAGCGCGCGCAGGCGGCCUGUUAAGUCGGGUGUGAAAGGCUGCGGCUCAACCGCAGAGCGGCAUCCGAAACUGGCGGGCUUGAGUGCAGGAGAGGGAAGCGGAAUUCCCGGUGUAGCGGUGGAAUGCGUAGAGAUCGGGAGGAACACCAGUGGCGAAGGCGGCUUCCUGGCCUGUAACUGACGCUGAGGCGCGAAAGCGUGGGGAGCAAACAGGAUUAGAUACCCUGGUAGUCCACGCCGUAAACGAUGAGUGCUAGGUGUUGGGGGUCCUGAGCCCUCAGUGCCGAAGGUAACCCAUUAAGCACUCCGCCUGGGGAGUACGGCCGCAAGGCUGAA